RNAcentral lists this long non-coding RNA (314 nucleotides) under Elaeis guineensis (African oil palm). Its description in RNAcentral is "long non-coding RNA (EGUI_LNC022840)". Lineage: Eukaryota; Viridiplantae; Streptophyta; Magnoliopsida; Arecales; Arecaceae. The record is from RNAcentral.
UCAUAGAUUUAGGACUCUUUAGGUUCUCAUCUUUAGAAUUCUCUUCUCUCAUUCUUCUUUCACUUCUCUUAUCUUCUCUAACAAAAAUACAUAAAAUAAUAAUAAUAAUAAUAAUAAUAAUAAUUAGAAGAGGAUUGUUCUGAUCUAAACUCCUUGAUUGCAUAUCAAAAUAAUUCGAUAAAUUAGAUCCAUGCUAGAAAUAUGGAUCUUUAUAGUAAAGUAGAUGAGCUAUCCCAUAAAUUAGAUCAUCUACUGACUAUUGGACACUCUCCAUCUCUAUUUUUUCUUCCUGCAUAAUAAGUUUGUGUAAUAUA